Molecule: long non-coding RNA, 23113 nt
Filed under: Vitis vinifera (wine grape)
Lineage: Eukaryota; Viridiplantae; Streptophyta; Magnoliopsida; Vitales; Vitaceae
Description: long non-coding RNA (VVIN_LNC000658)
Source: RNAcentral
CUUGGAUGUUCUUCAGAACUUGCUCCUCUGGAACAUAUAUCUUCUCAAGGGUUUUUCCAAUCUUCUUUUCCCAUAAGGAGACAAUUUCGUUGAAUGAGUAGGUGUUCUGAGGAGGCCUGAUGUAAAGGAUUUUGUUCAAGGUUCUAGGAUCAUCCGCAGCUUUAAUGGUAUAGGUGCCAAUGUCAUCCUCCUUGUUAAAAACAGCUGGAGAUGCAAAAAUGAAAUGAGUAAAAUAGAGUAGAAUCAUCUUCCUAUUCCUUCAAGCUUGGACUACUCCGUAAUUCCACUUUUUUUGUUUACAGAACACAAACUUGAAAUUAUUUUGAUAUGAAACCAAGUUAUUGUUUUCAUUUAAUGCUCAUGUCAAAAACUCUCAGCUGGAGAGCAACCCAAGAGGACUGUCAAUAUAAAAAAAGAGGCUUUAGCCCAUCCAGUUCAGAUAAUAAUGAUUAAUUACUAGAAGUGCACAAUGGUUCCUCAGUUUGACCACUCCAGGUCACAUGGAUCAUGCUAGUUUCCUGUAUUAUGGCUCAAUUGCAAUGUAGCACCCAAGCAGUCAACCUCAACUGUCGGAAGGUUUUGUUUCUGGGUGAACGGGUUUAACCAGCUGGGGAAAGGGGGAGUGGGGUGGGGUUGUCCAGGUUUCAAAUAGCCACAUUCUGAUUUUCAGGAAUAUAGACCAUUCUCACCUCAACAACGCUGGCAACCCCAUCAAUUUUUUUGCCUGGAGAAGGAUAAUAUGCAGCUAUUGGUUGGUGAAAUGGUAAAUUACACUCUCAAAAGGAUUCCAUGCUCAUCUACAUAACCCGCUGAUUAGUAUUACUUUUUAAGCCCACUAUCAUCAGAUGUCACUGAUACAUGGACCGGUGCAUUCUAACAUCAAAACGAGAAAAUGCAAUGGGAAAUUAAGUUGUAUGAUUUUCAGAGGUUGCUUACCUUUUGGAUUCCCAUCUCCUAAAAUAAUAACUUUAUCCCUGGGGGGAGCGGUGGCUCCAGGCUGUGAAAAUGUAGGAAGGAAAAAGCCAGCAAAUGUGUUGGAGGACACAUAGGUGUAGGGAAUUCCUUCAGCCUCAAUAGUGCGGCGGAUUUGAGCCUUUAUCUCAAAGGCUGUUUUUGCUGGCUCAACCGCAUGUACACGGUCCACAUCAUUUCCAAACUCUGAUGGGAAGAAUCUCUGGAUGAAAUAAAGCACUUUAAGAAGAAGCUGUAUAACUCAAUAGAUUGAAAAACGGGUCAUAUCUAUUUAGUCAUAUUAGCUCACGACAGGGAUCCUAUAUGGGAUACACUUUGACGAACUUGAUACAAGUGUUCAGCAACCAUAAAGACAUACAAUUAGCAAUUCAAACGAUGGAAGGAAAGAGUGCACUGAUCAGGAUUCUUAAAAAGUGAAAGAAAAAACCAUGUAAGAAAUGUGAAAAAAAAAACUACCAAACUUCAUUCAUAGAAGGAAAAUGCGCACUAAUCAGGAUGCUUAGAAGAUGGAAGAAUAAAAACUAAAUGAAAACAGGAGAAAAAAAAAAAAAAAAACUUCAUUCUUGUUUAGUUGUCUUGCUGCUUUUUGAAGCCUUUUGUAUACCAUUUGUCUACAUUGGGUGUGCUGUCUUUUUUUGUUAGGCGCUUCUCUGUUAAUAUAGUUUGUUUUUAGCCUAUCAAAAAAAGGGGGGGGGGGGGGUGGUGGUUGUGGGUGUAUACAAUGGAUUGGAAGUGGUAUAGCAUGCCCCAUGAAAGGGAAUUAGUAUUUAAAAUUUUUUCCUUUUUACAUCAAAAAUUAAGAUUGACUUUAAAGCAUCGAUCCAACCUGAGUCAAUGCACAUGGAUCUAGACAAGAAUCAAGAUUGUUGAUCCUCAAUGAAUAUUGUAUAUAUGGAAUGUUCUUUCAUGCACUUCCAACAUUUCUAAAGAAGGUAUUAUUACAUUAUGCACAAAGGAUAAAGAUAUCACCAACAAAUUAUAACAAAUUCCAAUAAUAAAUAUCAUAGUACUCGGAUUUGCAAAGAAAAGAGGGAAUUAGAAAGAAGAAAAGGAGAAAAGGAGAGAAAUUUCGUCAAUUUGGACAACUUUACCUUGACAUUUCCAGCUUCUUUGAUGGCAGCAAUGAUCUUGACUUGAUCCGACAACUGUGCGCGACCAACGGUCGAGAUGACCACAUCCACUAGAUUAAUCGCCUUCACCAAACUCUCGUGAUCGUAUAGAUCACCCUGCAACAUAACAUAACCAAUCAAUAAACUAUUUCAUAACCCUAAUUCCCCAGUUAAGAAGUAAGAAUCCAAAAGCAGGUGUGUUUUUUCACUUUACUGAAACCAAAAUAACUUAAAACAUAAACAUCCGAACUUUUCUUUUCCUGAGGAUCGCCACUUUUUUCUUUCUGGAUGAAUGAAGAAUUCCAGUUUUCGUUUUUUUAGGAACUUAAACAUCCAAAAAUUCAAGAACUCCAAUUAAUUUCAUUCAUUUUCUCGGCGGCCAAAAGAAGCAAAAAUUAGAAAACCAAGAAUAGCGAGAAAUGAGAGCGAAUAUUACGUACAUACACCAAAGUCACGCCGGAGCUCUUGAAAAUCUCAAUGAUUUCCGACUUGGAAGGAUUCGAAACGGCGGAUUCUCUGACGAGAGCGAAGGUAGGGUGACCGGACUUAGCGCUGGCAGCGACGAUGAAUUUUCCGAUGUAGCCAGUGCCGCCGAUUAUGAGAAUCUUGCUCUUUUCGGACAUUGUGAGCUUUUCCGGCGAAUCUCCCGCGAGAAAUGUGGAAUUGAGAGGACUAAGCGAAAGGUGACUGGAGAGUUGGUGGGCACCAACGGCCAAAGACAAUGCUCUUGUAGGACAGAGCUCGAGGAUAUUAGGAUUAUGUAAUUACGGAACUAGCCUUGUGUUUUGGUGGUAAUCUCCGUUUUGGUUAUAUUUUGAAUGUGGCUUGAUUUUUAUGUGAUUCAUGAAUGUGUCAAAGUUCGCUUGUUUGAAAAUUGGUUUAGAUUGGAAAGUGAAAAAGUGUAUAUCACAUGAGAGAUUUAUAAAUAGAAAAAAAUGUAUUUUCACACACUAAUGUAAAAAUAAUUACAAAAUAAAAACUCUUUAAAUAAUUAUAAAAUAAAAACCCUUUAAAAAUAAUUUAAAUUUUAUGCACUCAUCGAGUACAUGAAAUGAUAAUUUAAUAUAGUUAUGUGUAACGACCCGCUCUCCCAAUAAUGACUCCCCUAGCUUUAAAAAAACGUCUUUAGGAUUAAGAUUGAUACUAUUUAUAAUAACUCGUAAAACCUAAAAAGGUCAUCACGACUUUAAAAUGCGUUUGCAAGAUUAAAAAAAAAUAAAAAAAAUUAUACUUAGAUAGUGUUAGGAACUUUCUCCCCUAUCUGAUGUGUGAUGUUACAAAUAUCCCCCAUGCAGACACAACAUCCUUGUUGUAUCUCAUGGAAUUGUGGAAUUAGAAUGAUAAUUUAAUGUAAUUAUGUGUAACGAUCCACCCUAUUUGAUGUGGGAUGUCACAAAUAUCCUCAUGCAGACACAACGUCUUUGUUGUAUCUCAUGGAAUUGUGGAGUUAAAAUGAUAAUUUAAUGUAGUUAUGUGUAAUGACUCGUUGUCCCAAUCAUGUAGAUAUUAUUCGUUUUGGACCCAAAAAAUGACUUUCCUGACUUUAAAAAAACGUCUAUGUGAUUAAGAUUGAUAUCGUUUAUAAUAACUCGCAGAACCUAAAAAGGUCCCCACGACUUUAAAAUGUGUUUACAAGAUUUUUAAAAAAAAUUAUACUUAUAUAGUGUUAGGAACUUUCUCUCCAUAUGAUGUGAGAUGUCACAAACAUCCCUAUGCAGACACAACGUCCUUAUUAUAUCUCAUGGAAUUAUGGAGUCAAAUAGACAAACACUCCCUAUGAGGCAAACAAACUCCCACACCGAAAUCAGAGAUCAAUUCCGAUAUUAUUUGUAACGAUCUACUCUCAAUUAUAUAAAUAUUGUCCAUUUUAAUCCGAAAGGGCAUUACAGUUUUAAAACGUGUGUACAGGAUUAAGAAAAGCCUUUACAUAUACAGUGUCAUGAUUUUUUUUUUCCUAUCGGAUGUGAGAUGUCAUAUUAUGAAUCCGUCAUUCUGUCUUUAUUCAUUUGUUGCAUUUAAGAUAUUUGAAAAAUUGAGCGAUUUUAUAAAAUGAGUUUUGAAAAGGCAUGAGAGAAGGAAAAAGAUACUAGUUUAAUUAAGGCUUACAACCCGGUCUUCUUAAAGGGUGGUUAAAUUCCCUGCCUAUUAAAUUUCUUAUCAGGUCGUUAGUCAAUGGAUCUAUUAAAUUCUAGUAUGACUUUGUAGAGUAGUAAUUACUCCAUGGGUGAGUAAUUAUUAAUAUGUAGCUGGGAUCAUUAGUAUAUUUUACUACAUUUCCAAUAGAAAAUGCUACCUCAAAUAAGUUACAUGUCUCCGCGAGACACUCAAGAAUUUCAGCAUAUUCCAAGACUUGACUUCCAAGUUAGCCAAAAGACAUGGAUAUGAGAUUUCAAUUGAAAUGAUUAAACCUUUUUAGAAUGUUUUCACUAUAAUUUCAUCGGCACAAAAAAAUAAUUAUAAAACACUAAAAUCUCUUUUAAAAACAUGUCUUUUAUUUUUAAAUUUAAACACUUACUCAUCAUUUUUAUUAGGAAUGAUAAUGAGACAAGUUUUUUUAGAUAUUUGUCUGCCUUGUUCUUAAUGAAAUGGGUUUAAAAUUUAAAUAAACGAAAUUAGAAUGAAUUUGGGAUUUUUUUAAAAACUUGGUACUAGCUAUUGUCUUUUCUCAUCCUAUCUAAAUUAUAUAUAAAAUUAAUUUAGUUUUAUUUUUAUUUCCCUAUUUGAUAUAUAUAUAUAAUUAUUUAUAAAAUACAUUUAUUUUAAUGUAAUUAAAUUUAAAAAAAUCAAAAUAAAUAAAUAAAUAAGACGAGAUGGGCAUGAAAAAUUCACAUACCUACCUUAUUUAAUUUUUUAAAUAAGAUAGAAAUGAGAAUUAUUUUGAAUAAACAAGAUAAGGUUGAAAUGAGAUCAACUCGUCUUAAACUAGUCUCGUUGCUAUCUCUAUUUUUUAUACUUUUUUAGUUGAAAGGGAUAAAUGAAUUAAAGUUAAGGAUUAAGAUUAAAUAUUCUACUUUACAAAAAAAAAAAUGAGACUAUUAAAUAUUAUUAGAAUUUUAUCAACUAGUCAUAAGAGUUUAAAAAAGAAAAUAUUGAUGAACAAUUCGUAGGAGGAAAUGAAUUGAGAAUAAAUUGACCUAGUGAACCUUCAGUUGCAUUGCCUCCUACUAUGUUCCACUUAUUCAGAAACGAAAGAGAAAGGAUGAGGGAUCUAUAACUAUAAGUUAAAAGGACAAAGGAUCAGGACAAAUAGAGGAUAUAUAUUAUGAGAUAUUAUUUCUAAUAGAAUAUGAUAUUUUAAAAUAUUGCAUUUAAUAUCAUUUAGAAAUUCUUCUCUUAUUUUUAUUUUAAUAAAUAAUUUUUAGUAUUUUAGUAAUAAUGUUUAUGAUUAUAAAUAAUAUAUAUAUAUAUAAAAUUAUAUUAUAUACUAAUAUGCUAAAUAUUUAAAAGCAUUACUAGUAAUUAAAUGAUACUAUAUAUUAAUAUGAUCAUUAUAAAUUUUAUUAUACAUAUAUUUUUUAAUUCUUUUAUUAAGAAGAAUAAAUUUAUAAUGUCAGUUAUACCUUAGGAUUGUUGUAUUUAACAUAUAGAGAUACAAAAGCGAGGAAAAAUGCAAAAGAAACUAUGAUUGAGUUAUUCUAUCAUUUACCGACCAAACAUGAUACAAAAUAUAUUAUCUCAUCUUUUAUCUUAUAUUAUAUUAUAUUCAACAAACUAAACAUAACAUAAUAGACCGACAUUCUAUCAAAUUUCUCGUAUUGUGAUUUUAAAACUUGAAUAGUUCAUGAACUAAACAUUAUUGCCUUUUCUUGUCUCAAUGGAAUAAGCGUUUUAAUUGUUCUAUAUGCAUUUCUUCAUCAAGCUCCCUCUUUUGAGCUAGAAAUAUUAUAUUAGGAGCUAGGUACUCCUUUUUGUAUAGCUCCAUCUCUAAUAAGGUACCAAAGAAGAUAAACUACAAAGGCAAAGAAAAUCUAAUUCCAGAAACUUCUACUUGCAUAAGAUUAGAAAGGCACAUUGUCCUAUUACAGAAUAUGCCCAAUGGCAUAGACAAGGAAAUAACCCACUAUUUUCCACACAACAUAUAUUAAGACAGCUGCACAUGUUUGCUUGUUUAGAUAGUGCAGCAUGACAGUGAAAACUACCAGGACCGAAGUCUACCUCUCAAACAAGCUGGUUGAGCAACUCAUCCACAGUUGUGUAUUUGACAUCGGGAUAUAGCUCUGAAGCCUCCACCCCAAAUGAUGGCUCGAUCUCAAAGUUGGUUUGGUCUCCCUUAAUGAAAACAGAGUGAUCGAUUGAUAAUAUUGCAUUGAGUGGAGCAGAGGCUUCUGCAAGAAACAGAGGAAAACCCAUCAAUAUGAAGAUUUUAGCCAUCAGAUCAACUAUAUAAACAGAUUUUGGGGCGAAAAUAGCCUCUAUAACUGAAAAAUUAUCAUAUGUGGAUACCUUCUUUAACUUAUUAUCAAGCUAGGCCUCUUCAUGUCACCUUGGAGUCAUUUAAUUUAAUUUUUUCCUUUUUAAAUGUAAGUUGAAAAUGCAUUUUGAAAAGAGUGUUUGGACACACGAGUCAAAAUAAUUAUCAAAUUGUAAAAAUAACCCUUUUUUCAAUUUUGUUGAGAGAUCCCAGCAGUCAAAAUAAUCAUAUAAUCAAACCCAGUCUUUUUCUUCCCAACCUUUUUUUUUUUGGCCUUAUCUUAAACUUGCUCUAUUUCUUUUUCAUUUAAGACACUCCAGAAAAACUCAAUCUCAUUUCAUAAUGUCCCACUGAAUUUUCUUAUCUCUCAAACAACUUCUCAUUCUCAUUCGUGAUGUUCACCUAAAGUGUUCUAUGAUUAAAUUUUAUUUAUUACGAAUUUAACUAAGGUGAAAUUUUCAUUAAGAUUGGUUAGCUGAAUUGCACUAGUGUUAUGUUUGGUUGUAAAAAACUUAGUUAGAGUUAAAUUUUCAAUCAUAAUAGUAAUAUGAACUCCACUAUGGUUAAGUUUUAUUUACAAAAAACUUAAGUGGGGUUAGAUUUCUAUUUCAUCUACAAAGAACCUGAUUAUGGUAACUUGAACAAUCCUCUGGUUAAGUUUCAUUUAGAAAGAACUUGAUCAGGGUUAAGUUUCCAUUUCACCUAUAAAGAACUUAAGUAAGAUCAAGGUCUUAAUUAAAAUGUUCAUUUGCAUUGAACUACCAAAACAUCGGACUUAGUAAAAACAAAGUUAGAUGAGAGAUCUAGUAAAUGAUAAGUUUCUAUCUGAUCUCGUCGUCAACAUUGUAGAAGUUCAAAUGAAAUUGCAAAAUAACCCUAAUAAAAAAAAAAUUAGAAAAAACCUCUAACCAAAAACAAUGACAAAAAACAAAACUAAAAACAAAGAGAAAGACGAGAUUCGAUCUCAUUUUCGUCACUAUAGAAACUUACAUGAAACUACAAAAAACCUUAGCAAAAAACAACGACGAAAAACAAAGAGAGAUGGAGAUCUGACCUCAUCUUCUAUAUUGUAGAAGUUCAAAUGAAGUUGCAAAACCCCUAACAAAAAACAACUCCUAAAAUUUGAAAUAGAUAAGGCUCUAAUCUUUGUUCAAGGGUUUGAACUUCACCAGAAAAAGAGAUAGAACAUGAACUUAGAGAGAAGGAGAAGGCUAGGUAUAAAAAAAUGGAAGGGGCAUUUUUGGAGGAAAGAAAGAAGAGUAAAAAUGUCCAAAAUUGGUCAUUUCUCAAAGGGAAGUCAUUAUUUCGAUUUUAAAAGCAUUUUAGUCGACUUCAAUCGAGGUCCGGGGCAUGAUCACCAGAUUUUACCAGCAGGUCAGCUAACAUUUUCUAAGUUAAAAACAAUUUAACCAAGAACCAAUUUCAUUUUAACAAUCUAGCAUAAAGAGAAUGUUCUAUUCACAAUCUCUGUUCCAAUUUAAAUUCACUAGGAAAACCAAAACUUGAACACUUCCAAAAAGGAAAAUGUUUCUCACUAACCUUGGAUGUUCUUCAGAACUUGCUCCUCUGGAACGUAUAUCUUCUCAAGGGUUUUUCCAAUCUUCUUCUCCCACAAGGAGACAAUUUCGUUGUAUGAGUAGGUGUUCUGAGGAGGCCUGACGUAAAGGUUUUUGUUCAAGGUUCUAGGAUCAUCCACAGCUUUAAUAGUAUAGGUGCCAAUGUCAUCCUCCUUGUUAAAAACAGCUGGAGAUGCAAAAGUGAAAAUGAGUAAGAUAGAAUAGAAUCACCUUCUUAUUCCUUCAAGCUUAGACUACUCUGUAAUUCCACCUUUUUUCUUUUACAAAACACAAACUUAAAAUUAUUUUCAUAUGAAACCAAGUUAUUGUUUUCAUUUAAUGCUUAUUUUUUCAAAAACUCUCAGUUGGAAAGCAAACCCCAGAGAACUGUUGAUAAAAAAAAGAGGCUUUAGCCCAUCCUGUUCAGUUUAAAACCCAAUAAUAAUUAUUAGUUACUGGAAAUGCAUAAUGGUUCCUUCAGUUCAACCCCUCCAGGUCACCUGGAUCAUGCUAGUUUCCUGGAUUAUGGCUCAACUGCAGUGUCACACCCAAGCAGUUGACCCCAGCUGUCCGGUUUUCAAAUAGCCACAUUUUGGUUUUCAGGAAUACAGACCAUUCUCACCUCAACAACACUGGCAACCCCAUCAAAUUUUCUGCUUGGAGAAGAUAAUAUGCAGCUAGUGGUUGAUGAAUGCACAUUCAAAUAACCCAUUGAUUAGUAUUACCUUUUAAGCCCACUAUCAUCAGAUGUCAUUGAUCAUGGGAGCGAGUGCAUUCUAAGGUCAAAAGAAGAAAAUGAAACAGAAUUUCAGUUGUUUUACGAUUUUCAGAGGUUGCUUACCUUUUGGAUUACCAUCUCCUGGAAUAAUAAUUUUAUCCCUGGGGGGACCAGUGGCUCCAGGCUGUGAUAAUCUAGAAACGAAAAAGGCAGCGGUGGCUUCAAGCUGUGAUAAUCUAGGAAGGAAAAAGCCAGCAAAGAAGUUGGAGGACACGUAGGUGUAGGGAAUCCCUUCAGCCUCAAUAGCGCGGCGGAUUUGAGCCUUUAUCCCAAAUGCUGUUUUUGCAGGGCCAACCGCAUGGAUACGGUCCACAUCAUUUCCAAACUCUGAUGGGAAGAAUCUCUGGAGGAAAUAAAGCACUUUGAGAAGAAGUCAUAUGACUUGAUAGAUGAAAAACCACUCAUAUCUAUUUAGUCAUAAUAGCUCACAGACAGGGAUCAUCCAUGGGAUACACUAUGAUGAACUUGAUACAAGUGUUCAGCAAGAAUAAAGUUACACUUAGCAAUUCAAAUGAUGGAAGGAAGAAGUGCACCGAUCAGGAUGCUUAAAAAGUGAGAGAAAAAACUAAAUGGAGAAGGUGAAGAAAAAAGCUACCAAACUUCAUUCAUGAAAGGAAAAAGUGCACCAAUCAGGAUGCUUAAAAAGUGGAAGAAAAAACUAAAAGAAAAAAGGUAAAAAAAAAAAAAAAAAAAACCCACCAAACCUCAUUCUGUCCUGAAUCACUUCAGUUUUAAUUUUUAAUUUUUAAUUAUUUAAUUAGUGCUCAAAACAUUUGACACUAUUAAAUUAGUCAUUUGACAUAAUGUAUAUGAUGUUAUCCAAUACCCUAUGUUUGUUGCAUAAGUAUAGUCUCCUUACACAUGGGUUCAAUAAAUUGAGAAAAUGAAUAAACGGUGAAGUUUGAACAAAUGAUUUCCAACCAAAAAAAGGAUCUUAUGCCAUGUUGGACAACCGAUUUACCUAAAACUUAAGUUGUUAGGAUUUAAGCCCACGGUGUAUAUCAUGUUGCCCAUCAGUAUCUAUAUCCAACGAAAGGUCAAGAACCUCCUUGAAACGAUCCUAUUCUAACUUGCCCCUAGCUGCCAAACCCUCAAGGGCAUUAGCCUAAGGGCACAAAGUCAAUAUAGCUCAAGAACCUUCCUGAGAUGUUCCUAUUCCAGCUGACCCUAGCGGCUAGAUCUUCAAGGGCAUUAGCCUAAGGGUGCAAAGUAAAAACCAAGUUUGAGAACCUCCUUGAAAGGACCCGAUUAUAAUUGGUCCCUGGCAGCUAGGCCUUCAGGGACAGAGCAUAUGAGUGUAAAGCCAUUCCAGGACAAGAACCUCCUUAGAAGGACCCCAUCACAAUAGACCCCUAUUGGAGCCUAAGAACAAAAAAUGAAUAAUCAUAUGAAGAAAUAAUAAAACAAAGCAUAAAAGAUAGAAGAGAAGAUAAAAAUAACAAUAUCCUAUGCCACCUCAUUGUCCCCUCCUUCCUUGGAUGAUGCCUCGCUUUUAUCAUUGUCCUCCUCAUCGAUUUCCCCCAAGGCCUUCAUUCGACCCAUGAGCUUGUCGACUUUCAAAAAAUGCUCUUGCAUUAUUGAACCUUAUGAAUAAAAUUAUCUUUUACCACUGUCCACAAAUGAUUUUUUUUUUAAAAGAAUGGCUUUGUCUUAGAGUUCUAUCCUUUUCUUUCUGUUUCUCAUGGAUAAAAAAAACCCCAACCCAAAUAUUUUUUUAUAACAAGGAUAAUUUUUUAUACCUAAAGAAUUAAAAUCGACUUUCAAACACCUAAGCGUUGAGACUCAACUCAAUCCAACCUCAGUCAAUUAACAUGGAUCCAGCAAGAAAAGAUUGUUCAUCCUCAAUGAAUAUUGUGAAGAUGGAAUGUUCUUCCAUGCCUUUUCAACACUCUCAACAUUUCUAAAGAUGGUAUUACUACAUCAUGCGCAAAGGAUAAAGGAAUUACCGACAAAUUAUUACAAAUUCCAAUAAUAAAAAUCAUAGGAACUUGUAUUUGCAAAGAAGAGAUGGAAAUAGAAAGAAGAAAAGGAGAGGAAGAGAUUUCGUCAAUUUGGACGACUUUACCUUGACAUUUCCAGCUUCUUUGAUGGCGGCAAUGAUCUUGACUUGAUCCGAGAACUGUGCGCGACCAACGGUCGAGAUGACCACAUCCACUUGCUUAAUCGCCUUCACCAAACUCUCGUGAUCGUGUAGAUCUCCCUGCAACAUAACAGAACCAAUCAAAAAACUAUUUCAAAGCUGUAAUUCUUCAAUAAGAAGUAAGAAUUCAAAAAUUGGUGUGUGUUUCCACUUUGCUGGAACCAAAGCAAAUCAAAACAUAAACAUCCAAAAUUUUCUUUUCUUUUCCUGCGAAACACUACUUUUUCUUUCUUUCUGGAUGAGUGAAGAGUCUCAGUUUUCUUUUUCUUAGGAACUUAAACUUCCAACUCCAAUGAACUUCGUUCAUUUUCUCCGCGGCCAAAAGAAACAAAAACUAGAAAAGAAAAAAUGGCGAGAAAUGAGAGCGAACAGUACGUACAUAUACCAAAGUCACGCCGGAACUCUUGAAACUCUCAAUGAUUUCCGACAUGGAAGGAUUCGAAACGGUGGAUUCUCUGACGAGAGCGAAGGUAGGGUGACCGGACCUAGCGCUGGCAGCGACGAUGAAUUUUCCGAUGUAUCCAGUGCCGCCGAUGAUGAGAAUCUUGCUCUUUUCGGACAUUGUGAGUUUUUCCGACCAAUCUCCGGCAAGAAAUGUGGAAUUGGAAAAGGCUAGCAAGCAGUAAGCAAUGACGACUGACGAGUAGUGCAGUACUGCAGUGUUCUUAUAUAACAAAGCUUGAGGCUAUAUAGAUUAUGUAAUUACGAAACUAGCCUUUUCUUUCAGCAGUAAUUCCCGCUUUGGUCAUCAUAUGUAUGUGGCUCGAUCUUUGUAUGAUUCACGUGUCCCGAUUCAUAUUUGUUUGAAAAUCGGCUUAGAUUAGUCCAAUUUACAAGACUACACCAUCUUUAAUUUGACAAGAGCAUAUAAUAUAUAUAUAUAUUGUAGCAAUCAUUAAUAUUUUAUUUUAUUUUUGGCACGUGUAAUUUUAUCUCUAGCUCCCAUAUCUUAUUUUAUUGCACACUUUUGACUCCGUUUGGCCAUAUUGAUAUAUAUCAUAGAUUUGCCUUAGAUUUUGGUUAAUAAAAUUUUAAUCAUUAUUGCACGUUUUUAUUCUCCACCCAUGUUUAAUAGUAUAUUUUAGAGACUUAUCGUGGAUAACCACCCCUUCACCUCUCCUACUGAAUUGUCAUUUGAUAUUGCUUGGGGAUCCCACAGAGUUGUCUAGUUGAUAGGUUGAUAAAAUUUACAUGCACGGUCAUUUUCAUGUCCUUAAAGCAAAUACAAAUUAAAAUGUGAUCGAUUGAUGCUAAGAUUUGAAUUUAUCUAUUUAAUAUAAAAUUGUCAUGGUCAAAUGUUUAUUGCUACUCCACGAUAGAAUGAUGAUUUUUAUUUUUGUGACAGUAACAUUUCAAAUUAUAAAAAACAAUGAAUUAAACAAUAUUUUUAUAUUCUUUACAAAAUCUUGGAUGUUUAAAAUUAGACCCUUUAAAUAGACACGUGACUUAAAUGGAAUACCAUAUUUGGGAAUGCACUACACUUAACUUGGAUUGGAAUAUAAUUCAAAAUGGAUAACAAUUAGGAAUGCACCAUGCUUAUUUGGAAUUAAGGGAGAGAGGGAUGACUGUUGGAAUCAUGAAAUGUUAUGGAACGGACCCCUUUUUAAAGAUGUAGAUGUCCCUUAAAGAAACGCUUCCAUCAAAAGAGUUGCACCUAACUAAUAAGAGAUGGGAAUGACUUCCAAAAAAUGUAUCACUUCAUGUUGGUGGCCUUUUUAUUAAACCUAGAAGCAUGUGGGGUUAGGCUCACACAUAUCUGGUGUGGCUUGUGCACAUGUGAGCCUAUGUUAGGCCCAAGUCCACAUUCAUCUAGUUGGAUAUAUGCAUAUGUGAGUUUAUGUAAAAACCCAUGUUUUCUUUUAAGCUUACAAAAUACUUGUAAAGUACCUUUUCGACUAGUGAUCUUCUAAGAAACGCUUCCAUCAAAAGAGUUGCACCUAUCUAAUAAGAAAUGGAAAAGGCGUCUAAAGAAGAUCUCACUUUAUGUUGUUGGUGACCUUUUUUCAAUGUUUUUAAAAUUGGACCGAUUAUUAAAUAUAAAAAAAUUACUCAUUCACGGUUCAUUAAUCGGACUGACAGUUGAACCAGUAACGUCAUAAAUAUAUAAUUUAUAAAUUAUUAAAAUAAAAAUAAAAAUGUAUGUAUUGUUUAAAAAUUAAAAUUUUAUUUGAAAAUCAGAAAAUUAGUUUUAAAAUUAAAAUUAAAAUUAAAAUCAUGGGGGGGAGGGGGAGGGGAGGGGGUUCGUUCUGCCAGUGAGAGAGCGACGUCCGACCAAUCAGCAAUUGACGAUAGUGGGAAGAAGCAGCUAGGGUAGUAGGGUAAGAGGGGUUAUUGGAAAAAAUAAUAAUAAUAAAAGAAAGGUUGAACGGUUCAAUGGUCAAAUCGUCGGUUCAAUCGGUCUAAUUCUGGUUUGACUACUUUUCGACCUAAUUCAUCAAACCAAACCGAAAUUGUGACUUGCUGGUUCGAUCCAAUUUUUAAAACCGUGUAUUUUUAUUAAACCUAAAAGGUGGGUGUAGGAUCACACCUAUCCAAUGUGGCUUGUGCACACGUGAGCCUAUGUUACGCCCAUGUACACAUUCAUCCAAUUAGGUCCAUGCAUAUGUGAGUUGAGGUUAAAAACCAUGUUUUCUUUUUACCUUACAAAAUACUUAUAAAGUACUUUUUCUGACUACUAAUCUUCUAAUGUGGGAUUGCUUUUUUCCACCACAUUCCACAUGAAUGCAUAGGUAACUUUGAGCUCAAUUUGUCAUUAACCCAUAAAUGGUUUUGAGUAUGUAAAUUUCUUAUCCACCAAUACCUACUCGUGCAGACGUUAUUGGUUAUCAUUUGGAGAAAGGUGUCCAACCUAUUGAUUGUUGUAAUUUAGAUUGUCCCAAUUCUAAUAGUUGUGGUUUUAAGGCCUAGAAUUGUUUCGUUGAUUCUCAUCUUAACCCUUCUCUUUAUUCAAUGACUUCCCUUGAAAGUAUUAUUUGAUGAUCUCCUAUCAGGGGGUUGGUCUCUUUCUUAUCUUCUCUUCUUUUUAAAUAGUCCAUUACCUUAUCAUGCAAUUCUUUAAAUGAGAUAGCAGUAUCACAAGCUCUCACAACAACAGUGGUCUCUUUGUAUUUUGAACCUAAUUCAUUGAGAGUGUAAACCACCAGAUCAUCAUUGUGCAAGAGUGAACUAAUAAUAGUAAGUUCAUCAACAAUACUUUCGAAGAUUUGGAUGUAUUCACUAAUAGUUUUUUGUUCUUUGAUCGUUUUUAUAGCCUUUCCCAUGAGGUUAGGAUGCAUGACCUUGAGUAAUUGGCAUUAAGUUUUUUUGGGUGAGACCAUGACUCUAAUGCCUUAGUAGCACAAACCACAAAACAAAAAUAGACUCCAAACUACAAUCUAACAUGAGAUGAAAUAACAAAUUAUUUUAAGGUUAAUUUUGUUGACUUUCCAUGAGGUUUUGACUAAAUAUAUUUAGUUCAUAUUAGUUUGAAAUUUCAUCAAAUACCUCCUCUACCCUUCUCACAAAUUAUUUCACUUACCUGUCUUCUAACUCAAAAUAAAGGAAGUAUUUGACGAUAUUUUAAAUUUAUAAAAACUAGGUAUAUUUAACCAAAACUUGAGGGAAAGUAAGUGAAAUUAACCUAAUUAUCUUACUUUUAAUAUAGCCAAUAUUCCAUAUCUCGUAUUGGUACUUUCCUUCUCCUUUCAAAUUGUUGUAGAAGGGCAAAGAUAUGACCGUUGUUACAUGUGCUAAAUCAUAGUAGUAUAUAAAGAAGCAUGCGGAACUAAACUCUUCACAAUGGAAAGUUUUUAAUCGUAGUUACAUCACUACAUCAAUCAACUCUGUGGUGCUAAUUUGGUAAAAUGUCAAAAGACUUUGACCCAUUAAAGGUAAAAAAGAAUAAAAAUAAAAAUUUGUUGUAGCAAUGGAUACUCUAAAACCAUAAAUACAAAGAAUUUAUAUAACCUAUCACUCGUAUUAUUUUACAUUGUAUAAGUUUACAAUAGAAAUGAUCGACUAAAUAUACAUUGGUAAUAUUAUAGCUUAGGGUCAAAUGUCAUGCGUUAUGAAUGUAAAGAAAAAUUGAACUUGAUGAUUUGGUUGAGCCUUUAUUUGCCAUUAAUAUAUGCCUUUAUGGACUGUCCACUGUAAAUUCCUUUCACUCCUCUCAUUGAAGAAUGAAACUCCACACUUUAUUCAAGUUUAAAAUGUUUUCUUGCAUAUUAAGGAGGAAAUUAAAAAAUAAAUAAAUAAAUAAAGGAAAGGAAAAUGAUCCGUUAAAAAACUAUAUUAUGAAUGUUAGAUAUCUUAAAAAACAAAAAAAUAUAUAUUUGUAGACCCCAUUUUGGGGAGCUGUCAUUUUUCUCACGUUUCCUUUCUUGCAGCUAGCUGUGGCCAAGUGUCACCAUCUUGCAUGGCCACGUGUCACUCCCGGAUUAGUCAAUAUGGGAUCAAAAUAGUGGAAUUGAUGGACCCAUCAGAGGAAGACACCUGGAAAGUGAAGAACAUUCUGGAAUCAGGGGAGCGUAUCUUCUGUUAUGGGAAGGUUGCCAGCUGCAGGAGUAGAGGAGUGGAGGCUGGUUGCUGCAGAGAGAGUGGAGGCUGGCAGAGGAGUGGAGGAGAGGUUUUGCUUUUGAAAAGGCCGUUAGAGAUAUUUUUAGGAUGAGGCAGCGGCAUUGAAGGGGAGAGUUUGGAGAGAUUCUUGAGGAGCAAGCUAGAUAUUGAAAAGAGAGAACGAGACAGAGAGAGCUGCAUUGAGAGGGAGGGAUUUCUUUUAAGCUGAGGCUGGUUGCUGCAGAGAGAGUGGAGGCUGGCAGAGGAGUUUUGGAGAGAAAGAGAAGGGUUUUUGGAGAGAAAGAGAAGGGGUUUUGGAGAGAAAGAGAAGGGUUUUUGGAGAGAAAGAGAAGGAGUUUUGGAGGGAACAGAGAGCUAGAGGGGGAGGAAAAACACUAGGAAGAAAAACAGAGAAAUCAGAAGAGACGGUUUUGGGUAGAGGAGGUUAUCAAGAACCAGAAGAAAAGGGCCUCCAGGUUCUUUUUGAGGGGUAAGUUUUCCACUGUGUUCUUGUUCUUUCUUUUUCUCUUCAUAUAUUGUUGUUGAGAUGCAUUGUUGUUGAUCUUUGGAUGGGUUAUACUCUGUUCUUCAUGGUUGACUGCUCCCCUUUUGCUUCUGUUUAUGGCUGAAAAUUGAUUUAAAUCCAUUUUUACCUUCUUUGUGGCAUUUUAAAGAAAGAAAAAGACCUUUUAAUUCACCCAUCUGCAAACCCACUAAUGAAGAGGUGAAGCAUAGUUCUUCAUGCUUCAUCUCAUUUUUCUUCCUCCAUGGCUCUGUUUUUGCUACUUUUCUCUCUGCUCUUCGUGUUUGGACUUUCUUGGAUAUGAAGCCGUAAUGGGGAGUGAGGCUAUGGGAUGACGAGACAGUGAGGGAUUUGGACUCCUUGAAUCCGUUUAUCCUGUAAAGGCUACUAAGGGCUUGGUAGAUCAAUGUUUGAGCAUAUGAACAGAGAGUGGUCUACACCGGGGAUACCAUUAUUGCCAGUGAUCCGUGUGGCAGAGGUUAGUGGGCUGUAGAGAGGGGAUCCUUUCUGACGGAGCAAAGGAACAAGAGAUGAAUUCAUGGGUUUUCUGAAUUGUUUUCACUAAGAAGGAGUUCACCCAGUACUCUUAGGCCUAAGAAGCUCGGCAUUUCUUUGCAAACAUAAGAAGCACAGGCUGGAACUAUGGAGGCCAUAGGUUUUACAUGGUAAAAAAGUGGGUUGACUGAGGAAUUGAGAAAGAAAUAAAGCAAGCAAAGCCGUCAUCGAAUGACGCCGGCGGCGAAGCGCCUCCACUUUGACUACGUCGUGCCCUCAGUUAUCGACUCUAACCACCGCUUCUCUAGUCUACGCGUGUCGCCGGAAGACUUGACGCUGAUCGUUUCUCUGCCUCUCUUUAUUUUCGGCUCUGUCAGGGGUCGAAACUCAUCCUCCGCUGGCGAUUGCGACGAGUGUCUCUCCUAGCUUAAGCCUCACGAUCAGCUUCGGCUGUUCCUGAUCUGCCGUCACGCUUCCCAUGCUCUAUACAUCAACACGCUGCUGGCAUCCAGUCAGGCAUGUCCUUGUAUCGUGUUCCGCAGGGAAUUCUGGGCCUGAUCUGCUCACUGUGGUGAGUGUCGCGCCAUGGAUUUUAACUGAUGGUGUCCCGACGAUUGACAAGAAGUUUUCCGGUGGAUGUGGUUCUUGGCGACGGAAGAAUCUUCGGUGGUGUGUCUAUGUACUUCGGCGAUCCUCUAAAGGACACUAAUCUCCCCAUUAGUUUACGCUGGUGACUGUGGAAGCAGAUUCCGCUUCAUCGGAAAACCCAAUCCUUCUCAAGUGCCUGGAAAAGCAGUCAUUUGUGAUCGGAACUUCACCUCGGCGCCCAAAGUCGCAGCGUUCUCCAACUGGUUUAGACAUCGACGAGAGACAAGUUGAUUUUAAUAUAAUUUCUGGCACGUCCAUUGCAUGUCCGUACGUGAGUGGAAAUAGCGACUGUGGCAGUGUACCCAAACGGCUUCACCACUCUCAAGCAUGAUGCUCUGAGAGUUGAAUUGAAAUGGAGGGGCGUUCUCAUAUUGCAAUUGUUGUUCCUAGAACUGAUGAGUCAAUCAGUAAAUUGGUUCAGCAACCUCAGAAGUUAAUAGAUCUCCGUGAGGUUCGCGAUAUUACUCAUAUGCCAUUUGCAGAAAGAGAUGACUGAAGGGAAACGGGUUCCUCUGAAUAUUACUAAAUUUGAUUAUGAAUGUUUGAGAAAGACCGCUGACAGUCAAGCAUAUUAAGGGGAUCCAUAUAAAGAAUUGUGGGUGUCCUUUGUUGACCGAGUUGGUCUUAGUCACAGAUAUCCUCAUCCAUGGCUGCUGAUAUAUCUCCUAAUUCUUCUUGAUGCUGCGGAAGAUAUUGUUGAAAUAGGAAAAACUGGGUGGAGAGAUCAAUUGUUACUCUGAUUUGAUUUUGGAUUGAAAAGGGAUGGGUUCAUUCAUGGAGCAUGUUCUGCCAGGAACGCUGUUUCUAGCAGUGAGUUUGUGGCACAUAUGCAGCGCAGUGGUGAGAUUUGUGAUGAACCCAAAGGGGUUUCAGGUUCGGGUUUUGAACCCAGUGUCUGGUUUUGAUGGAAGGCUUAGAUACUUGGAGCUUUAUGUGGUGGCAAUCGGAGCUUUUAUUGAUAUGUGCAUAGAGUUUUUGUAUUCAACUCAUCUCAAGUUCUUUGUGAAUGGGGUCUUGAACCCAUCUCACACGAAUGACUUUGAGCACUCUGGGAUGCUUCUCAUGUUCUUUAUUUUCGGGGUCGUCGCCUUGUUCUCCCAGCAAACCGGGCUUGUUCAAAACUGAAUAACCAAUGCUCAAUAGCCUUCACAUAGCUCCAUUCUGCCCUCACAUACUUCCAGCGCGUGACUUGUUUGAAUGAGAGCGACUUUUAUUGCCAAACAGUUACUUGGGGAACCGGUGACGUUACUCCUAUUGCAGGAUUGCUUGGCAAAUCUCAAUUCCAGAUUCACUUAGGAGGGAUCCUUGGCUGCUAAUUGGAAGGCUUCAAGACAGAAGGAAGCGAAGAGUGAUGAUACCAGGGAAGUGACUCAAUUAUCUACUCUACACUUGCCCGCUCAUGGCCCCAAAAUCUCAGAAGUGGUCAAGAAGUUGGAAGACUGCAUGUUCUGAAAUUGACCUAGCCUUUCAAAUCGGGUUCCCUACAUUGAAAUAAGAAGCAGUAGCAUGAGUUAUCCUCCAGAAUGGCUCUAUUCUCUGCAUGGUGCAUGGCCACCUUUGGGCCACAGUGCCAUUUCCCAUUUCACCAUCUCUAAUUUUGAAAAAUAUUCUUUUAAAUCCCAUUCUUCAAAUAAUUUUCUAGAUUUUAGUUUGUUUUAAAAUAAUUUCAAACUCGUCCACUUUUCAUCUUUAGUUUCUUUUUCUUAGAUUCCAAAAAUCCAUUUUUCCAAUAAAAUUUUGCUACCACUUUUCUUCCUAGCAAGCCAUUUUCAUAUCUCUUCUGUUUUUUUUAAAUUGUUUUGAAAUAAGCAAGAAUUAAUUCCGUAAUUCCGAAUAAUGGAAUUUAUGGAAUUAAUUCAUGCUAAGAUAAAUGGGCUUUGGUGGGGGCCCAACAUAUGAGAUUUUAUGAUUGAUUGACUGAUUGAUUGAUUCAUUAGCUAUAUGUGAUUGAUUUAUUCUGUUCCUUGGUAUACACAUUAUCCUUCUGUGUUUGUUCACUAACCCUGUUUCUGAUAGCACGUUACGGCUCGUGGCCCCGGUACGCACUCUCUAUACCUAUUCUGUUUCUCAUAUGUGCAUAAUUGAUUCGAGUAUUCAUUGCUUUCCUCAUCAAUUGCCACAUCAGCUUCAUUUUAUUAGUAGAGACCCGAUUUUAGGGACUUAGAGGGGUGCUAUGGUCUUUACCGUACCUUCCCGAUAAGUAACCUGACCCCCGAACCCGAUCCGGUUUUUCGUAGAUCACCUUUUCCAAAUAAGGAGUCACACUUAGGGUUUUUCUUUCUUAUUUUGUUUACCCUUUUAAAAAUAAAACAAAAAUACAGCUAAAAUCGAGCUCGCCAUUGAGUGGGAAACGCAUUGAGAUAGAUCGAAAUGCGGGGUCCACAACGCGUUCUUUUAUUCUCUUUAGUUUUAUAAAAAAGAUGGUAAAAAUGUAGUGAUCUUCUUUUAGUUUCUGUUUUAUAAGUGAGAGGGGACUAAGAUAGUAUUUAUUUUUUGACUGAAUAUAAAAAAUCAAAAUAUAUACAAAUUUACUUUAAUUAUAUUGGACGAUGUUAAUAGGUUACUUUUAGCUAAAUAAAAAAAAAAUCAAAACCUUAGAAAAAUAUUUUAAGUUUUAUUUACUCAAAUCAAUGUUUCCAAAAAUAUCCUUAUUGUCAAAACUGACUUAAAUGAAAAAUAAAUAAAAAAAUAUAAGCAAAAAACAAUUUAAUAGUUUUUAAAAAUAUUAUUAAAUCAUCAUUUGGUUCCCUUUUAUUCUGUCACUUUAAUUCUUUAAAACUAAAUUUAAUUCUUUUAUAACAAUAGAACAUAGGGGCCUAAGGUUGGAAAAUGACAAUUUACCCUAUUUGAAAAAAGAAAAAUUAUAUAUUCAUUUCUAGCCAAAAACAACUUUAUAUGUAAUUGUCAUUUUUUAUCAACCCCCACCGCUGAUGCAAAAGCCUUAACCUUGAAUGGAAUUUUAAUUUCAAAGACAUUUAGCACAUAGGAUAAAAAUUGUGCAUUUCAAUGAUCAAAGCUUCAUAUCUUAAAAGGUAGGUAAAUUUUAAAAUUCAACUAAGUUAUGUCUUCAAAAGACAAUAUUUAAUUGGAUUCUUUCGAGGUGUCAUAGAAUUAGAAAUAUUUUUUGAAUUAUUAUAUUUUAAAAAAUAUAUUUUUUUAAAUUGCCUUACUUUGUUCAAAAUGCCAAGAAGCAGGCAUAGGAACUAUAACAAAGCUCCAUCUCUAUUAGGGUACCAGAGAGGAUGAAUUGAAAAGGCUAGGAAAAUCUAAUUCCAGAAACUUCUACUUGCAUAAGAUACAGAGUGACUACAGAAUAUGCUCAAUGGCAUAGACAAGGAGGCCACACAUGCUUGCUUAUUUAGAUGGUGCAACAUGACAAUGAAAACUAGCAGGACCAGAAAUUACCUCUCACACAAACUGGUCAAGGUACUCAUCCACAGUUGUGUAUUUGACAUCGGGAUAUAGCUCUGAAGCCUCCACUCCAAAUGAUGGCUUGAUCUCAAAGUUGGUGUGGUCUCCCUUAAUGAAAACAGAGUGACUGAUAGAUAAUAUCACAUUGAGUGGAAAAGAGGCUUCUGCAAGAAACACAGGAAAAGCCAUUAAUUUGAAGAUAUUUGUCAUCAUUAAGAUUAUGUUUGGUUUCCAAAAAAUUUGAGGGAAAAUGCAAGAAAAGAAAAUAGAGAGGAAAAGUGGAAAGAAAAAAAAAGAAAAAAAAUAAAAAAAAUGGAUUCAAAAUCAAUAAAUUAUUUUUAAAUGCUAUUUCAAACUCAUUUCACCCAUUUCCCCCUAUUAUAUAAAGAUUAAACAAUUUUAAAAUGUAUAAAUUUUUAAUUAAUUUUAAUUAUAAUUUAUUUUCUUUCAUAUUUUCUAUAAUGAAACCAAGCAUGAGAAAACUAUUUUCUUUAAUAUUUUUUUUAUUUCCUUAAUACUUUCCGAGAGCCAAACAUAGUCUAAAAGAUCAACUAUAUAAACAGGGGCCAAAAAAUGGCCUCAAUGGUAAAAAAAUUAUCCUAUGUAGGAACCUUCCCAAACUUAUUUUUCAAACUAGAACUCUUGAUGCCAUCUACGCCCCAUUUUUAUUUUAUUUUUUUCCUUUUUAGUCAUAAGUUGAAAAUGCAUUUCUGAUUUUAUAAAGAAGUCAAAUUUUGAGCAAUGGUUUGAAACAUGACCCAAACUCAAUAUUAUUUGACCAAAACAGGCCUUUUUUUUAUCCAAAAUUCAUAUAAACACGUAAUGCUUGCAAGUUCAACCAACUCCUCUUUCUUUCUUUUCUUUUAUUCCCUUCAUUUUUCAAAUCCAUUGAGCAACUGCAAAUUGUUAGUCUGUCAUAUGAAUCUCUAAGGAAGACCCUAAUUGAGGUCUGGGGCACGAUCAAAUGAUUUUACCAGCAGGCCACCUAAUAUUUUCUAAGUUAAAACAAUUGAAUCAAGAACCAAUUUCAUUUUAACAAGGUAGCAUAACGAGAAUGUUUCAUUCCCAAUCUCUAUUCCAAUUUAAAUUAACUAGGAAAACCAAAGUAUGAACACUUUUAAAAAAAGAAAAUAUUUCUCACUAACCUUGGAUGUUCUUCAGAACUUGCUCCUCUGGAACAUAAAUCUUCUCAAGGGUUUUUCCAAUCUUCUUUUCCCAUAAGGAGAGAAUUUCGUUGAAUGAGUAGGUGUUCUGAGGAGGCCUGAUGUAAAGGAUUUUGUUCAAGGCUCUAGGAUCAUCCGCAGCUUUAAUAGUAUAGGUGCCAAUGUCAUCCUCCUUGUUAAAAACAGCUGGAGAUGCAAAAAUGAAAUGAGUAAAAUAAAGUAGAAUCAUCUUCUCAUUCCUUCAAGCUUGGACUACUUGGAAAUUCCACUUUUUUUGUUUGAAGAACACAAACUUGAAAUUAUUUUGAUGUGAAACCAAGUUAUUCUUUUUCAUUUAAUGCUUAUGUCAAAAACUCUCAGCUGGAAAGCAACCCAAGAGGACUGUCAAUAUAAAAAAGAGGCUUUAGCCCAUCCAGUUCAGUUUAAAAUCAAAUAAUAAUGAUUAAUUACUAAAAAUGCAUAAUGGUCCCUUCAGUUCAACCACUCCAGGCCACAUGGAUCAUGCUAGUUUCCUGGAUUAUGGCUCACUUGUAAUGUAGCACCCAAGCAGUUGACCUCAACUGUUGGAAGGUUUUGUUUCUGGGUGAACAGGUUUAACCAGCUGGGGAAGGGGGGAGUGGAGAGGGGUUGUCCAGGUUUCAAAUAGCCACAUUCUGAUUUUCAGGAAUACGGACCAUUCUCACCUCAACAACACUGGCAAACCCAUCAAUUUUUCUGCCUGGAGAAGAUAAUAUGCAGCUAUUGGUUGGUGAAAUGGUAAAUUAACACUCUCAAAAGGAUCCCAUGCUCAUUUACAUAACCCACUGAUUAGUAUUACUUUUUAAGCCCACUAUCAUCAGAUGUCACUGAUUAUAUGAGCCAGUGCAUUCUAACAUCAAAAGGAGAAAAUGCAAUGGGAAAUUCAGUUGUUGGAUGAUUUUCAGAGGUUGCUUACCUUUUGGAUUCCCAUCUCCCAAAAUAAUAACUUUAUCCCUGGGGGGAGCGGUGGCUCCAGGCUGUGAUAAUGUAGGAAGGAAAAAGCCAGCAAAGAAGUUGGAGGACACAUAGGUGUAGGGAAUUCCUUCAGCCUCAAUAGUUCGGCGGAUUUGAGCCUUUAUCUCAAAUGCUGUUUUUGCUGGCCCAACCGCAUGGACACGGUCCACAUCAUUUCCAAACUCUGAUGGGAAGAAUCUCUGGAUGAAAUAAAACACUUUAAGAAGUAGCUGUAUAACUCAAUAGAUUGAAAAACCAGUCAUAUCUAUUUAGUCAUAUUAGCUCACAAACAGGGAUCCCAUAUGGGAUACAAGUGUUCAAAUAAAGACAUAAAAUUAGCAAUUCAUAUUAUGGAAGGAAAAAGUGCACUGAUCAGGAUGCUUAAAAAGUGAAAGAAAAAAC